RNAcentral lists this ribosomal RNA (489 nucleotides) under uncultured bacterium. RNAcentral describes it as "partial 16S ribosomal RNA". It matches the Rfam family "Bacterial small subunit ribosomal RNA", at positions 30 to 506 of the family's 1533-position model. The record is from RNAcentral.
AUUGAACGCUGGCGGCAUGCUUUACACAUGCAAGUCGGACGGCAGCGGGGUAGUGCUUGCACUACUGCCGGCGAGUGGCGAACGGGUGAGUAAUAUAUUGGAACGUACCGAGUAAUGGGGGAUAACCAAUCGAAAGAUUGGCUAAUACCGCAUACGCUCUGAGGAGGAAAGCAGGGGACCUUCGGGCCUUGCGUUAUUCGAGCGGCCAAUAUCUGAUUAGCUAGUUGGUGGGGUAAGGGCCUACCAAGGCGACGAUCAGUAGCGGGUCUGAGAGGAUGAUCCGCCACACUGGGACUGAGACACGGCCCAGACUCCUACGGGAGGCAGCAGUGGGGAAUUUUGGACAAUGAGCGCAAGCCUGAUCCAGCCAUGCCGCGUGUCUGAAGAAGGCCUUCGGGUUGUAAAGGACUUUUGUUAGGGAAGAAAAAGGAGCGGUUAAUACCCGUUUCUGCUGACGGUACCUAAAGAAUAAGCACCGGCUAACUACGU